RNAcentral lists this microRNA precursor (103 nucleotides) under Marmota monax (woodchuck). Lineage: Eukaryota; Metazoa; Chordata; Mammalia; Rodentia; Sciuridae. The record is from RNAcentral.
AGAGGAAUAGCUUGGUCAAAUGGUGGUUCAAUACUCAGUUUUCCAAGGAAUCUCCAUACUGCUUUUCAAAUUGGCUGCCCCAAUUUGCAGUCCCACCAGCAAU